This 773-nucleotide ribosomal RNA is filed under the name uncultured Neocallimastigales. RNAcentral's name for it is "partial large subunit ribosomal RNA". It matches the Rfam family "Eukaryotic large subunit ribosomal RNA", at positions 18 to 642 of the family's 3401-position model. Lineage: Eukaryota; Fungi; Neocallimastigomycota; Neocallimastigomycetes; Neocallimastigales. The record is from RNAcentral.
UCAGACGAUGCGUCAUGCAUAUCAAUAAGCGGAGGAAAAGAAACUAACAAGGAUUCCCCUAGUAACGGCGAGUGAAGCGGGAAGAGCUCAAAUUUGAAAUCUUAAAGGGAUUCCCUUUACGAAUUGUAGUUUAAAGAAGUGUUUUCUGUUGAGGUUUUGGUAAAAGUUCUUUGGAAUAGGACAUCAUAGAGGGCGAGAAUCCCGUAUUCGACCUUUACUUUCAACUUUGUGAUACACUUUCAAAGAGUCGGAUUGUUUGGGAAUGCAGUCCAAAAUGGGUGGUAAACUUCAUCUAAAGCUAAAUAUUGGCGAGAGACCGAUAGCGAACAAGUACCGUGAGGGAAAGAUGAAAAGAACUUUGAAAAGAGAGUUAAACAGUACGUGAAAUUGUCAAAAGGGAAGCGUUUGACACCAGUGUUGUUUUUCUGAAAAUCAAUUAAAGAACUGUUUAUGCUAAGCUGUUUAGACUUUAUCAGCUAUCUGUUUAGUUUUGAGCUUUUCUUUAAUGCACUUUUCAGUUAACAAGUCAACAUCAAUUUCUUUUGCUGUAAAAAAGCUUGAGGAAGGUGGCUUGAGAUUCGUCUUAAGUGUUUAUAGCCUCUUGCCUAUGCAGUCGGAGAGAUUGAGGUCUGCAGCGUAGAUCCUUCGGGGCUAAAUGCAUUUGUGCUAAGUUAUAGCAUUUUAUAGACAACUUGUUGACUAUGACUUGUCUUGUAGCUUACUCGCUUAUGUUAUUUUACCUACGCUUAGGAUGUUGACACACGCGCGUGCUC